This 2079-nucleotide long non-coding RNA is filed under the name Triticum aestivum (bread wheat). Its description in RNAcentral is "long non-coding RNA (TAES_LNC006697)". Lineage: Eukaryota; Viridiplantae; Streptophyta; Magnoliopsida; Poales; Poaceae. The record is from RNAcentral.
ACACUAGCACCAGCAGCACAACUCGCGGUGGGUACUAGGGGUGUUGGUUUGGUGCUUUACACAUGUAAGAUGAUCUGCAAACACACACAAAGGUGAACUGAAAAUUUUGAUUUUUUAUGUAUAAGAAUACAAAAAAUUAGGUUGUUUUUGCUAAAUUUUUGUCCUCUGAACUUAUGACCUCUGGAGUUUGUACUGAUAUGAAUCAUUUUGCUGAACCGCUACAAAUUUUUGUGUAUUGAAUCACUAUAUAACUUAGACAUCAACUGCACAAUGGUUUUUCUUUGAACUUUGGAUCACUUUUUUUCUGAACCACAUGUGUACCAAGAAAAAACAACAAAGGAAAAAGAAAUGAAAAGUAUGAACGGAUGCAUAUACACACAUCAAACUAUUUCUGCAUUUCAUUAUGAUCUGGUGAUAUAAUACAUAUUUAACUGCUAUACCAUUAGUAAAUUCACAGUUACAUGACACUUUUUUAGAGCAAUCUAGUAAGCAUUGCAUGGAAUACAUCAAAUAUUGGGAGCAAUUUUAACAAGUACUUAUCUAAUUUUGCAUGUGCACAAUACCACCAAGGUUGAACUUUUUGAGUUUUGAUUUUUGAACCUCCCAGUAGUAAUACAUGUACUGAGCGGCACAUGAUUAUGUUGUUGAGAAGCUGAUCUACAGAGACAAAAAGCACUCCUAUAGUGCACAGACAAAAUCAUGAUAAAAAGUGGAAGCAAGAAGCAAUCAGUAGGAGCACAUAGACUUCAUAUUCUAAGGGGCACCACUAGGAGCACUAGCCUUUUUCUCUUUAAUGCUAUACGAAUAGGUGUGCACAUCCUGUCUUUUUUUAAAGCGUUGAAGUCUCAUGGACAAAGCAUCAAACAGGUUUCACGCAAUCCAGUGCUAUCUCUCAGCUAUUUGCUAAAUGAACAUAGAACAUGCUGCGAGUUUCAUUUCGAACUUGCCUGGAAGUAAUACUUGUACUCUAGUCCAAGUACAAGUAUAAUGCUUAAAGUAUGUAAACAAAAAAAAAGAUGCAGAAUUUACAAACAAAAAGCUUCAAAUAAAAGUUAAAAUAAUAGAGAAACUAUGAAGCAAAUAGCAUUAGUGAUCUUCUAACUGAAACACCAUAUUGUACUGAUAUUUUUUUGUCAAUGAACUUCUGCAGUUUAGGUACUAGAACUCACUAAUGUUAUUUACUCUUUGUUUUUAAGGCAUUUUAAGUACAUGCCAAACACUUGUUUCUUAAACACAUCCACAGGUUAAAUGGAUUAGUACAUGAUGAACAAUAUCAGUUUUCAGAAGCAAAACUUACACUGAAUUGGUUAAACUUCUUUUUGCCAAGCUACUAAUUUUUUAUAUAUAGCAACACUAUUUUUUUGAAUAGACACAUUGAACCGUUUUCUGGGGUUGUUAAUGAGUUGAUGAUAGAAAACAUGUCGAACUCAAAUUUUGGGCUUACAGAACUACCAAAUGUUUUGGGUUCUUCUAUCAACCUUUUUCUUAUCUUUUUCUGAACUCCAAACCACAAUUACAAUUACAAUACACACAUGCACUACACAGCAAUGUGUAUUUGUACUAUUCAUAACAACGAAUUAACCAAAAAAUAACUAAUUUGUGAAGGAAACAGUUUUUGAACUUGGUUUGAGCUUCAUCUCUUCAUAUUUUUUGAACUCAUGCAGCAGGUAUACCUAAACUUGCGUGACAUUUUAUUCAGUUGAAAGAAGCUAAUUUUUGAACUCCUGCGGCUAACAUACCUGGAAUCACGGAUGGGGGGUGGAGGCGACUGCUCCAGCAAGGGCUGCGGGUUGGUCAGCUUCCCUACUGAUCAGCAUGUUCAUGUGUUUUCUUGUUACUGUGUACACCAUGUUGUUGCUCAACAACAAAAUAGAGCUUGAUUUAUAUCAGCAAAGCAAAAGUUGGCCGGAAAUUUUAUUCCUUGCAUCUAGACAAAUUUAUAAGUUAUAACAUGAGAUAUUCUAUCAAACGCGGAACUGAAAAUCACGGAAAAUGUGAACUGAAAAUUAUGGAAAAUGUCAACACCUUCGAUCAAUAAACUCUACUGGAUCGCUUAGCUCUUUCUUGCUGCCUCCACCU